GGGUUGUUACACAUAUGGUCCAUUUUCUUGUCAUUUAAUUUCAUUUUUUCAUCAAAUUCCAACUUCACUCAAGUAUUUAAAUCAUAAGAUAAAGAGAAAUUGAAGAAUAAAUACUAACCUCACUUGGCACUUUUCAAAUCUUCAAAUCCUUUCUCUUUUCUUCAAAAUUUCUUCUUCAAUUCUCCUUCUCAAGUUGCAAGAGCAAGGUUUAUUUAAAAAUUUGGGGGAUUUUAUGGCUAAUUUGGGGGUUUGAAAAGCUUGAAAUCAAGCUUUAAUGGAGGACAAAAAAAAAACAAGAGAGAGAGAAUGGAGAUGGUGUCGUCCAUGAGGUUGAAGGAAAUGAAAAUUAGUUUUUCAAUUUCAUGUUUUUAUGUCUUAUUUUUGACUUAGUCAAAUUAUAAUUAAAUAAUUUUUAUUUAUGAUGUCAUGGGUGAAGUCACAACAUGAUGUCAUUAAUUCCAUUUUCUUUUCUUUUUCUUUUUCCUUUAUUUUUUCAUUCUUCUUUAAUUUAAUUAUACAUUCUGAAAUUUUCAUUUCUUCGAUUUUAUUAGACAGUUAGGUCAGGAGUCACCUCUAGGAGGUGAAUUGACCAAUUUGCCCUUCACCGAAUUGAUCCGGUUUAUAAAUAAUUUGAUAUUUCUUUCGGAGUCCUAACUUAAUUAUUCGAUCUACUUCUCAGCUCUUUUCCGUGAUUUUUUCUUUUUCACUAGGUUCGCAAUAGUCUUUAGGACCGUGGCAUCACAAUUUCCCCUUUAAAAUUAGGGUUAGGAUUGACCUCGCAGUCACUUCCCGGGAAGGUCACCCAUCGCUGUGACCAUCGGCUCAUUUAACUUUUUAUGCUU
This 842-nucleotide unclassified non-coding RNA is filed under the name Hevea brasiliensis (rubber tree). The record is from RNAcentral. Lineage: Eukaryota; Viridiplantae; Streptophyta; Magnoliopsida; Malpighiales; Euphorbiaceae.